This is a non-coding RNA of Meleagris gallopavo (turkey), 367 nucleotides long. The record is from RefSeq and is a predicted model, not a curated record. NCBI's taxonomy places the organism in Eukaryota, Metazoa, Chordata, Aves, Galliformes, Phasianidae.
ACAGAGGGCAUUGGACCUGCAGAGUUCCAUGUCACCAUGGGAUGGGUAACAGAGCCAUGUCAGGAUGGAUGUCUCCUGGCCACCAGGAGAUCUGGGACUGACAGCCUUGUCCUGAGGUGGGGAGAGCACCAGGCCCAGGCCAGAACACAACUGGACCAUGGCACACUCCUGUCCCUCUUCAGCCACUCUGCUUGAGGUCAGUGCAGCUCUCUGGAGUAACAUUGCCGUAGGGAUGAGGAAAGCCCCCAGUCCCUGCCUGCACUGCAGUGCAGCCUCCCAGAGGCUGAAGGCGCCCCACUCUGCAACAACCACCCUCCCUGUUCCUGUGUGAAAAUCUCAAAAUAAAAAUUCCUGAUUGAUUAACCCA